GGCGGCGUAGCUCAGCGGUUAGAGCAGCGGCUUCAUAAGCCGCGGGUCACUGGUUCAAUUCCAGUCGCCGCUA
This 73-nucleotide transfer RNA is filed under the name Planctomycetales bacterium. Its description in RNAcentral is "tRNA-Met". It matches the Rfam family "tRNA". Rfam says of the family: Transfer RNA (tRNA) molecules are approximately 80 nucleotides in length. Their secondary structure includes four short double-helical elements and three loops (D, anti-codon, and T loops). The record is from RNAcentral. Lineage: Bacteria; Pseudomonadati; Planctomycetota; Planctomycetia; Planctomycetales.